GACGAACGCUGGCGGCGUGCUUAACACAUGCAAGUCGAACGAAGUGGCGAACGGGUGAGUAACACGUGGGUAACCUGCCCUUCUUUUGGGGAUAACCCUCGGAAACGGGUGCUAAUACCGAAUAAAGGGGGAUGGGUUGCCGGCCUAUCAGCUUGUUGGUGGGGUGAUGGCCUACCAAGGCGGUGACGGGUAGCCGGCCUGAGAGGGUGACCGGCCACAUUGGGACUGAGAUACGGCCCAGACUCCUACGGGAGGCAGCAGUGGGGAAUAUUGCGCAAUGGGCGCAAGCCUGAUGCAGCCAUGCCGCGUGUGUGAAGAAGGCUUUCGGGUCGUAAAGUACUUUCAGAAGGGAAGCGUUACCCUAAGAGGAAGCACCGGCUAACUACGUGCCAGCAGCCGCGGUAAUUC
This 408-nucleotide ribosomal RNA is filed under the name uncultured bacterium. RNAcentral describes it as "partial 16S ribosomal RNA". It matches the Rfam family "Bacterial small subunit ribosomal RNA", at positions 28 to 526 of the family's 1533-position model. The record is from RNAcentral.